GGGAGUGUAGCUCAGUGGGAGAGCACUAGCCUAGCAUGGGCAAAGGCUUCUAACGCCUUUAAUCCCA
This 67-nucleotide transfer RNA is filed under the name Mesocricetus auratus (golden hamster). It matches the Rfam family "tRNA". From Rfam's summary of the family: Transfer RNA (tRNA) molecules are approximately 80 nucleotides in length. Lineage: Eukaryota; Metazoa; Chordata; Mammalia; Rodentia; Cricetidae. The record is from Rfam by way of RNAcentral.